RNAcentral lists this unclassified non-coding RNA (311 nucleotides) under Hevea brasiliensis (rubber tree). The record is from RNAcentral. Lineage: Eukaryota; Viridiplantae; Streptophyta; Magnoliopsida; Malpighiales; Euphorbiaceae.
CCCACUGCAGAAAUGGCAGAUGAAGCAUCAUGCCUAACAGGAUUUGCGAGGUCACCCACAUUUCUACUUCCAAGUUGUCCAUUGAAGGAUGAUGCUUGAGCUCUCCAAGAUCCAAAUGAAGCUUGCAUCUGUACUUGAGCCAUUUCUGUUGCAGCUUCACUGUAUGAGCCAUUAUCCUUAACAUGGAAGUUAACUGGCGUUAUACGACCACACAAAUUUAUCUCACUUCCAACAGCAGAUUUCUUUUGGUUGGUUGACUCUUCAGCAGAAUAUUCAUCAUUGUUAUUGAAGACCUCACCCAACAACUCUGU